AAGGAUUUAAGUUAAAAAAACUCUUAGCCUUCAAAGCUAUCAAUAAAGUCUUCCUUUAAGCCUUA
RNAcentral lists this transfer RNA (65 nucleotides) under Staphylinidae sp. BMNH 1274643. RNAcentral describes it as "tRNA-Trp". The record is from RNAcentral. Lineage: Eukaryota; Metazoa; Arthropoda; Insecta; Coleoptera; Staphylinidae.